This 78-nucleotide transfer RNA is filed under the name Echinostoma caproni. It matches the Rfam family "tRNA". Rfam says of the family: Transfer RNA (tRNA) molecules are approximately 80 nucleotides in length. Their secondary structure includes four short double-helical elements and three loops (D, anti-codon, and T loops). Lineage: Eukaryota; Metazoa; Platyhelminthes; Trematoda; Plagiorchiida; Echinostomatidae. The record is from Rfam by way of RNAcentral.
GANCUCGUGGCUCAGCUGGUAGAGCAUGCGCUAUACAAAAGCGGCGUCCAUGCGUGGGUUUGAAUCCCACCGAGGCUA